GUCCCUUUUAAUAGUCAGCAGUUGCCACAGCGGAAUGAACAGCCAACUUAGCCACUAUAUGCAGCAUAUUACGCAGCAGAUGGCCCUCCAGCUGCAACCCAAGACUGAUUACCAGCAGAGGUUGGACUAGUGGUUGGACUAGAUGGGGGAAAAGACAUGCUGUACUGCUGUCCAUGUUGUCUGCAUUCAGAUCCAGCCCUCGCCGAAGAAACAAUGUCCUCUCAAGGACAACACAGCGAAACACCUGUGACGCAAACUACAAUGAGACAAGCUGCAGCGCCUUCCUAGCAACACAAACCCCUUCAAACUGUCCUCUUCAAUGCAUUAAAUCAAAGCACAUGUAA
This 344-nucleotide long non-coding RNA is filed under the name Danio rerio (zebrafish). RNAcentral describes it as "uncharacterized LOC100334155 (LOC100334155)". The record is from RNAcentral. Lineage: Eukaryota; Metazoa; Chordata; Actinopteri; Cypriniformes; Danionidae.